AGCAGCCGCGGUAAUUCCAGCUCCAAUAGCGUAUAUUAAAGUUGUUGCAGUUAAAAAGCUCGUAGUUGAAUUUCGGGGUUAGCAGGUCGGUCGUGCCAUCGGUAUGAACUGGUCUCGCUGAUCCCUCCCUCUUGACGAACUGUGAUGCCAUUAAUUUGGUGUCGCAGGGAAUCAGGACUGUUACUUUGAAAAAAUUAGAGUGUUUAAAGCAGGCUCACGCUUGAAUACAUUAGCAUGGAAUAAUGAAAUAGGACGUUUGAUCCUAUUUUGUUGGUUUCUAGGAUUGACGUAAUGAUUAAUAGGGAUAGUUGGGGGCAUUAGUAUUCAAUUGUCAGAGGUGAAAUUCUUGGAUUUAUUGAAGACUAACUACUGCGAAAGCAUUUGCCAAGGAUGUUUUCAUUAAUCAAGAACGAAAGUUAGGGGAUCGAAGACGAUCAGAUACCGUCGUAGUCUUAACCAUAAACUAUGCCGACUA
This 475-nucleotide unclassified non-coding RNA is filed under the name uncultured Glomus. Its description in RNAcentral is "SSU rRNA". It matches the Rfam family "Eukaryotic small subunit ribosomal RNA", at positions 569 to 1048 of the family's 1831-position model. Lineage: Eukaryota; Fungi; Glomeromycota; Glomeromycetes; Glomerales; Glomeraceae. The record is from RNAcentral.